GUCCUUUUCCCGGAAAAGCAGCAGGUCACGUGCUCCUCCCACCUGCCACCGAGAACUAAUUUGGGAUAAUUGAAGUCCAGGUGAGGCUGUUUGAGACACUGUGUUCGGCUUCAGGCCAUGUGCACGGCUGUUGUUCAGGCUUCUUGGCCUCAUGAACUCCUCCUGUGCAGGAAAAGGAGACGAAGCAGGAUGGAACAAAAACAGAUGAAGAUCUUCAAACUGAGUAGGGUCCUAACCCUAGGAGAGCGAGGGAAAAAAAAAGAUCGGUAAGUCUUAAAAGUUGCUUAGUCAACAACUCCUUGUACUAACAAAAUGGAAUUUCUAAACAUAUCGGACAAGCAUGAACAGAUCUCAUCUUUCGUAUCAAAGAGUGGAUUCCCAUAUUCGGAAGGGAAGUGCAUCCUAUUCUUUGCCAAAUGGAAUCUAUUGAAAAGGCAAGAAUUUAAAUGGCAAGUGUUGGACACGGACUCUGAGAACCUAUGUCUGGAUUCAAAAAUAACCACUUCCAUAGAGUAUUUCAAGAGAGGAAAAACACCUAAGACUGAAAGACCAAGGCUUUUGAUGAAAUGAGAUCUCUCAAACUGGAUUGCACUGACUGUCUUCAACCUAAAGAGUUGCCAAAUUGGAGAAACCAAAUUGCCUGUAAAUACUAAAGAAAUGUAAAAAUGUACUGAGAUGGUCUUGUUUUCCUUAAAGCUGAAGGCCAUUGCAUAAUUUAAAGGAUAUUCAUGUAUUUGCUGAAGGGAUUCUUUUAAUGCAGGUAUUAAGUCUGAUUUUUGGAUCCCAGGAUACAUCUACAGAUUCCAUCCUUCCAGAGAAAUGGAUGUAGGAAGGUUACAUCCAUAUAGUGGAAAAAGGUGGCAGACCAUCAAAGAUUGAAGAUCUGGAAAGUAGCUGGAAGCACCAUAGAUGCAAGAUGCGAAGAACGUCAAAUAACAAGGAAAUGUUCACUGGAUCUGGGAAAUAUUUUCAACUGCGGCAACUGGAGCGCAACCAUCAAGAGCCAGUGAAGCUGGAGUCUGUGGAAAAGGGACAUCUGCGUUUGCUGGAGACUCAAAGAAAAACUCCAACCAUUUCCGGCCACAGAUGAAUUCUUCAACUCCAGAGUAGUCUUGGGAAUUAAUACCUUGAAUGAAGAUGGCCACAGGACCUGCAAAACCUUCAAUUACAUACAAAUUUGCUUGCACCAAUGGGUUGAAUGAGCAGUGGAUUAGUCAAGUACAAUUUUAGUAUAAGGCCUGGUCAAUAAAUGACCAGGCCUUAUUGUGCCUUUAUUAUUUAUUUUUUUAUUUAAUAAAAAUCCAACCCUACUAGACCCAAUCGACGUCUUCCUCGGCAUUUGCUGGAUUAUUUUUCUCCGGCAUUUCCCUCAUUGACGCUGCUGUCCAAUGUGGCUGCUGUUGGAAAUAUCUAUCUUUCCAACCCCUGCAUCGGGCCAGAUGAUGUGAAUCUGCCAAUUUUUACUUUGAAUGCUGUCUGAAAGUUGAUUAUAAAGGAAUUGUUUUAAA
Molecule: long non-coding RNA, 1508 nt
Organism: Oryzias latipes (Japanese medaka)
Lineage: Eukaryota; Metazoa; Chordata; Actinopteri; Beloniformes; Adrianichthyidae
Source: RefSeq, a predicted model, not a curated record